CUCGACCUCAGAUCAGGUCAGACUACCCGC
This 30-nucleotide ribosomal RNA is filed under the name Acrozoanthus australiae. Its description in RNAcentral is "partial 28S ribosomal RNA". The record is from RNAcentral. Lineage: Eukaryota; Metazoa; Cnidaria; Anthozoa; Zoantharia; Zoanthidae.